This 325-nucleotide ribosomal RNA is filed under the name uncultured eukaryote. RNAcentral describes it as "partial 18S ribosomal RNA". It matches the Rfam family "Eukaryotic small subunit ribosomal RNA", at positions 1470 to 1796 of the family's 1831-position model. The record is from RNAcentral.
CCCUUAGAUGUCCUGGGCCGCACGCGCGUUACACUGAUGCAUUCAACGAGCUUAUAACCUUGGCCGAGAGGCCUGGGCAAUCUUGUUAACGUGCAUCGUGAUAGGGAUAGAUCAUUGCAAUUAUUGAUCUUGAACGAGGAAUUCCUAGUAAACGCGAGUCAUCAGCUCGCAUUGAUUACGUCCCUGCCCUUUGUACACACCGCCCGUCGCACCUACCGAUUGAAUGUUUCGGUGAAGAUUCCGGAUAGGACUUUUUUGAUUUAUUUCAAUUUUGUCUUAAAAGCUAUCUAAACCUCAACAUUUAGAGGAAGGUGAAGUCGUAACA